This 1062-nucleotide long non-coding RNA is filed under the name Spirodela polyrhiza (greater duckweed). RNAcentral's name for it is "long non-coding RNA (SPOL_LNC001553)". Lineage: Eukaryota; Viridiplantae; Streptophyta; Magnoliopsida; Alismatales; Araceae. The record is from RNAcentral.
ACUGAUUUAGUUUUAGUUUCAACAGGGCUAUUCCGCGAAGCGCCUCGUGUUCGAUCGAUUUCUUCAGCAGAAAAGGGUCAAUCGUCAGAAUGAAUUCUAGGGCAGCCAAUGAAAUUAGUCAGAUCGGCGCAUAUCAGGUGUUUAUGAUCUCAACGGGAGGAAAGCCCUUGUAGCAGAACAGAGUUCCUGGUCCGAGCGGCAAGCUUACGGAAAAGGACCCGGCAGGUCAGUGUGAAGCUCAUAGGUUUGCUCAGAAAACAUGGUGAUGAACAAUCCAUGGUAGUGGAUCCUUUCCCUCGGAUCAAAUCACAUCGAAUCUCUGAUCAUGGAAGAAACGGAAGAGUGAUCGAAGAGUUACUUUAGCGGCUAGCAGAAAGACAGAGAACGAGGCAUGUCGUCUACGAAACUACGAACGCUGUGAUCGACUGUAGACCAGAAGUUUGAAAUAAAUGCACAGAAGAAGAUCAAAUGGUCCAGCGAACGAACCAGAGGGGGGACGGAAUCAGUCACUGCGACAACGCCGCAUUCCUCACACACAGCGGUCGAGGAAAAGGUCGCCGGAGGUGGGGGGGGGGGAGGGCUGGAGAGUCUCAUCGGACGCUUCACCUCGGCCGCCCGCCGCCCACGUCAAAUCGUUCUAUCCGCUGGGGAUCACAGUUCCGCGAUAUACCAGCGUUCCGGAAUCAAUGAUCGAAGAAUGCGCGAAAAAAGUAGAGGGAUCCGGAGAUGAAAGCUGGAAGGGAAUAGAGAAGCAACCGUACCUCUCUCUGGUGGGCUCUCUCUUCUCCUCGGCUCUCCCUCACCGGCUGCGGCAGGGAAGAGGGCUCCGCCGGAUUUGGAUGGGGAGGGGACCUCGAUCUGCAGAAGACUUUUCCGACUUCGUACGCGGAGCUUCCCUGCAGAUCUCCUGUUUGUCUAGAUGGCGACGAAAAUCUUCCGUCGCCACUGCUCAUCCGACGCUGUCGCCGGCUGCGGCUGCGCCGGGCAUCUCUGCGACUCGUUUGGUGAGACGGGGUUGAAGGUUCGGUGACGAAGGGGAUUGGCACGUGCGGAAGCCCUCGC